AUGGAGCCGACCUUGAAAUACCACCCUUUAAUGUUUGAUGUUCUAACGUUGACCCGUAAUCCGGGUUGCGGACAGUGUCUGGUGGGUAGUUUGACUGGGGCGGUCUCCUCCUAAAGAGUAACGGAGGAGCACGAAGGUUGGCUAAUCCUGGUCGGACAUCAGGAGGUUAGUGCAAUGGCAUAAGCCAGCUUGACUGCGAGCGUGACGGCGCGAGCAGGUGCGAAAGCAGGUCAUAGUGAUCCGGUGGUUCUGAAUGGAAGGGCCAUCGCUCAACGGAUAAAAGGUACUCCGGGGAUAACAGGCUGAUACCGCCCAAGAGUUCAUAUCGACGGCGGUGUUUGGCACCUCGAUGUCGGCUCAUCACAUCCUGGGGCUGAAGUAGGUCCCAAGGGUAUGGCUGUUCGCCAUUUAAAGUGGUACGCGAGCUGGGUUUAGAACGUCGUGAGACAGUUCGGUCCCUAUCUGCCGUGGGCGCUGGAGAACUGAGGGGGGCUGCUCCUAGUACGAGAGGACCGGAGUGGACGCAUCACUGGUGUUCGGGUUGUCAUGCCAAUGGCACUGCCCGGUAGCUAAAUGCGGAAGAGAUAAGUGCUGAAAGCAUCUAAGCACGAAACUUGCCCCGAGAUGAGUUCUCCCUGACCCUUUAAGGGUCCUGAAGGAACGUUGAAGACGACGACGUUGAUAGGCCGGGUGUGUAAGCGCAGCGAUGCGUUGAGCUAACCGGUACUAAUGAACCGUGAGGCUUAACCUUACAACGCCGAAGC
This 764-nucleotide ribosomal RNA is filed under the name Escherichia coli. RNAcentral describes it as "partial 23S ribosomal RNA". It matches the Rfam family "Bacterial large subunit ribosomal RNA", at positions 2180 to 2925 of the family's 2925-position model. The record is from RNAcentral. Lineage: Bacteria; Pseudomonadati; Pseudomonadota; Gammaproteobacteria; Enterobacterales; Enterobacteriaceae.